AUCUUAGAAAAAAAAAAAAAAAACAACUGUCCAGAGUGUGCAUACUGGUCUGUUCAACCUGAAAAUUGGAUUUAAGCAAGCAGAACGUAUUGGCUGUGAUAAUGGAUAGGCAGUUAAAUGGCCAGGAUAUUUGACUAACAAAAGAGGGAUUUUCUUUUAAAUUUUGUUGCUACACCUACAGUAUUCUACACUUAAUUUUUUUAAGAUUGCAGUAGAUUGGGAAUGGACAAAAGUAAGCCAAAGAACAGGCAUUCUGUCCAGACUGACACCAGGAUUUACGUAGUCAGGUUUUAUAUUUGCCUGUUCUGGUGAAUUGUUGUCCUAUGUAGAGGAUUACACAAUGCUGAGGAGACAGAUUUAUGCAAGAGGAUAGUCAUGAUAGUGCUACAACUACUCCAUCAGAUUUUGCAUUUUCAAAGCAUUAUGUUUUAUGGGCAUCACAAUGCUGCAUUGGAGACUCAAGAACGUACACCAUGGGUAGCCCCUGACGAUGCUGAAAGAAUUGAUGUCGACGUGAGCCCUUUGGACGUUGACAGUGAUGACGACGACCCUACCUACGUUCCUGACGAAGGCCUUACUCAGGAGGAUGCCUUUGACCCUCCUAACUCUAGAGGUCAAUGUUGUUGUCUCUCAAGCGAUGCCUGUGGAAGAGGAAGGUGAGGUUAACACAUAAGAUGCGUCCACACGGUCGAACAAUGUCUGACAGGCAAACAUUGUAACCAAUUAAAAACUGUCUGCCAGUCUUUGCCUUGUGAGCAGAGUAAAAGCAGUGGUAUACAACCUCAUCUGGUACCACUGUUUGUUGCCAGAUCUACUUUAAUCAUUUCACCGCUUAUGAUGUCAUCCUGCUUCACCUGUGAUAGGUAACAAUGUUUGUCAGUCAGACAUUGUUCGACCGUGUGGAUGCACCUUAAGAGGUCUCGUGCUGAUGAAUGGAAGAAGAAAGACAUUGAUAUCCACGCCCUGCCCAACUUCAUUCAUCAGAAGCCUGACUAUUUGAGGAAACCAUAUGAAUAUUUCUCCCAGUUCUUCACAGCUGAAUUGAGGGAACACAUUGUGUAUCAAUCCAACCUGUACUCAAGACAGAAGGAUGUAGGCAGCAACUUCCACAUGUCAGAAGAGGAUCUCAUGGUUUUCCUUGGCCUCAUCGUGUACAUGGGCCUGGUUCCUCUCCCUAGCAUAGUUGACUUCUGGGCCGUGAAGACCAGGAUUCCUCAAGUUGCAGACUUAGUGUCCAGGAACCACUUAAAGGCAAUUCGAUCUUCCCUUCACUUCAACGACAAUGACCAGGCAGCAGCAUCCCAAGAUCAGUUCUUCAAGGUGAGUCCCCCCUUCACCAAGGUCACCAGAGAGUUCCUGAGACUCCUAUCCACUCCAUUGAUGAAGUGAUGGUCCCCUAUAAGGGCACAAGGGCUGGCAACCUUUGCCAGUAUGUAGCAAAGAAGCCUGACAAGUGGGGCUUCAAGUUGUUCUGCCGCUCCAGCGUUUAUGGAUUUGUGCAGAUUUGUGCAUGAUAUUCUGCUGUACCAAGGAGAGACAACCUUUGUGAGCCACCAUACAAUGCUAUCUGAAGAGGAGAAAGCCAUGCCUGUGACUUCAAAGGUUGUCGUCGCCUUAGUGAAUGCCAUCAAGGACCCCAGUAACUCAGCAGUGUAUGCAGACAACUACUUUACUAGUAUAGGGUUGGCCAAGUACCCGAGAUCACAGUAUGGAUGACGGUAUGUGGGCACUGCCAGGGAAAGAGUUGGUCACCCUCCCCUGACGUCUGUGAAGGAGAUGAACAAGAAACACACACAAAGGGGCACACUGGACUAUGUCUCUUCUGAUGGCAUCCUUGUUGCAAGAUGGAAGGACAACAGCGUUGUUACAAUCUUGUCCACCGAUGUUGGUGUUGAGCCCAUGGGAACAGUGGAGCGGUAGGACAGGGCACUCAAGAAGAAGGUUCCCAUUCCUUGGCCAUCUGUCAUCCAGAUGUACAACAACCGCAUGGGUGGCAUUGACAAGACUGACAUGUUGACACACCUGUACAAGACCCCCUUCAAAGCAGAGAGGUACUACACGAGGCUCUUUGCUUACCUCCUUGACUUGAUCAUCUGCAACGCCUGGAUUUUGUUUAAGAGGGUUUGCCUGGCUUUGCAGGAAAACCCAAAGCCCCUCAAGAACUUCCGUCUGGAUAUCUCCAAUUGGCUCAGAAGCUUCAAGUCAACAACCUUCAGAAUAACCAGGAAUUCUCUUGGCACCAGAGAUUUUGCUUUGCCAAGAAGGGGCCAACGGGCAGUUUUGCCAAACGUUGACACACGUCUGAAUGCCACUGCCCUACACAUGCCAAAGCAUGUCACCAUGAGGCAGACCUGCAAGUUCUGUUCUGGUGCAGGCCACAUCCACAGAUCCCGCUGGAUGUGUGAGGAUUGCAAGGUGGCCCUUUGCCUUCCUGAAGAUAGGAAUUUUUUUGCAGUUUCUAAGAUUAUUGAGCAAGUAGUUUGUUAUGAGUUAGUUUUAUGUUUUCUGUAUUUUUAUACUAUUUUUGUAUUUAUUGUACCUUUUAUAUUAAUUAAAUUGUCAAGCCAUAUAUGUGCUUCUAUUAUACAUUGGGGAAAAAAAAAAAAAAAAAAAAGUGAUUCAUCAAUAAUAAUCAUAUGAUUUGUGGGCGAAUCAACAUUAGUUAUAAACUUGAAAAAGUUUCCCAUUAUGGCCCAAUAGAUCCCAUAUGGGGAUGAGCGUGGUCCGCCUAAACUCGCCCGAGGCACCCAUAUGGGAUACUUCAUUGCAUGCAAUUAUUUUGCUUUUGAAAAUUUUGUAAUAGUACACAAGAGUAAAAAUGUCUUGUAUUUACUAAUACAACAACAUACUAAAAGGAUUUUUUAAGGUUUCCCAUAAAACCUAGG
This is a long non-coding RNA of Macrobrachium nipponense, 2885 nucleotides long. RefSeq lists it as uncharacterized. NCBI's taxonomy places the organism in Eukaryota, Metazoa, Arthropoda, Malacostraca, Decapoda, Palaemonidae. The transcript has 4 exons. The record is from RefSeq and is a predicted model, not a curated record.